Molecule: transfer RNA, 76 nt
Filed under: Candidatus Thiodiazotropha sp. (ex Lucinoma aequizonata)
Lineage: Bacteria; Pseudomonadati; Pseudomonadota; Gammaproteobacteria; Chromatiales; Sedimenticolaceae
Description: tRNA-Ala
Rfam family: tRNA
About the family: Transfer RNA (tRNA) molecules are approximately 80 nucleotides in length.
Source: RNAcentral
GGGGCCAUAGCUCAGCUGGGAGAGCGCAACACUGGCAGUGUUGAUGUCGGCGGUUCGAUCCCGCCUGGCUCCACCA